AUUGAACGCUGGCGGCAUGCCUUACACAUGCAAGUCGAACGGCAGCGGGGGAGAAGCUUGCUUUUCCUGCCGGCGAGUGGCGAACGGGUGAGUAAUACAUCGGAACGUGCCCUGUAGUGGGGGAUAACUAGUCGAAAGAUUAGCUAAUACCGCAUACGACCGGAGGGUGAAAGUGGGGGACCGUAAGGCCUCAUGCUAUAGGAGCGGCCGAUGUCUGAUUAGCUAGUUGGUGGGGUAAAGGCCUACCAAGGCGACGAUCAGUAGCUGGUCUGAGAGGACGGUCAGCCACACUGGGACUGAGACACGGCCCAGACUCCUACGGGAGGCAGCAGUGGGGAAUUUUGGACAAUGGGCGAAAGCCUGAUCCAGCAAUGCCGCGUGUGUGAAGAAGGCCUUCGGGUUGUAAAGCACUUUUGUCCGGAAAGAAAUGGCCCUGGUUAAUACCUGGGGUCGAUGACGGUACCGGAAGAAUAAGGACCGGCUAACUACGUGCCAGCCGCCGCCGUAA
Molecule: ribosomal RNA, 508 nt
Filed under: uncultured bacterium
Lineage: Bacteria
Description: partial 16S ribosomal RNA
Rfam family: Bacterial small subunit ribosomal RNA
Source: RNAcentral